RNAcentral lists this ribosomal RNA (138 nucleotides) under Dasypus novemcinctus (nine-banded armadillo). The record is from RNAcentral. Lineage: Eukaryota; Metazoa; Chordata; Mammalia; Cingulata; Dasypodidae.
GUCUAUGGCCAUACCACCCUGGAAGUGCCUGAUCUUUGCCUGAUCUCAUCUGAUCUUGGCAGCUAAGCAGGGUCAGUCCUGGUUAGUACUGGCAAAAAGAUGAAGCUUAAGUGGUUGAACAACUGCUUCCCAUAUACA